Molecule: long non-coding RNA, 96 nt
Organism: Melanotaenia boesemani (Boeseman's rainbowfish)
Lineage: Eukaryota; Metazoa; Chordata; Actinopteri; Atheriniformes; Melanotaeniidae
Exons: 3
Source: RefSeq, a predicted model, not a curated record
UUCUAUAUUGCGUCUGAUAAAGUCUCAAUAUAUUUGCAAAUCUUGAUAUAUUGCCCAGUCCUAAUAUGUAAUAAGUAAAAAUACAUUCUUCAGUUU